AUGCCUACGGGAGGCAGCAGUGAGGAAUAUUGGUCAAUGGGCGGGAGCCUGAACCAGCCAAGCCGCGUGAGGGAAGAAGGUACAGCGUAUCGUAAACCUCUUUUGUCAGGGAACAAAGGCGGGGACUAGUCCCCGGAUGAGGGUACCUGAAGAAAAAGCAUCGGCUAACUCCGUGCCAGCAGCCGCGGUAAUACGUAGGUGGCAAGCGUUAUCCGGAUUUAUUGGGCGUAAAGGGAACGCAGGCGGUCUUUUAAGUCUGAUGUGAAAGCCUUCGGCUUAACCGGAGUAGUGCAUUGGAAACUGGG
RNAcentral lists this ribosomal RNA (305 nucleotides) under uncultured bacterium. RNAcentral's name for it is "bacterial SSU rRNA". It matches the Rfam family "Bacterial small subunit ribosomal RNA", at positions 335 to 637 of the family's 1533-position model. The record is from RNAcentral.